RNAcentral lists this non-coding RNA (23 nucleotides) under Cricetulus griseus (Chinese hamster). The record is from RNAcentral. Lineage: Eukaryota; Metazoa; Chordata; Mammalia; Rodentia; Cricetidae.
CUGAACAAGGGAUCAGAAAAGAC